GACAAUUUCUGAGAAAUACAAAGAAUUUUUCAAUUUUUUUCAGAAAUUAUUGAAUAAGAAUUCUCAAAAUAUUCUGUAGGACUGCCUUCCCUUUUUUUUGUGACAUUCAAUGUCUUUAAAGCGCUAAUGUCAGCUUUCUUUGUAGCUGAGUACUGAGUCUACAUAAUUCGACAAAAUUUACGUCAACGUAUAAACGUAUAAUAUUUCGUUUUAAAAACAAUUAAUAUUCAAUAUUUUUUACCUUUCUUGUUUCGAUAUUUUCUUCAUCAGUAGCGAGUCAAACGCGAGACAGCCAAUCGCGAUCGGAAUAAAGAGGCAACAAUGUAAUCGCGAUUAGCAGGCAACUUUAGGGUUACAUGGCUAUUUUAUAAGAAGAUCCUCUGGUAAUUCCAACUACAAAAUUUGUAUCGUCCAUUUUUGAACAAACGGACAGGUUGAAUCAACCAGAAUUUUUCAUAAAACAACAAAACUUUUUCCAGUGUGUGAAAUAAAAUAAAUAUACUUUUAUACUUUACUACAGCACGUAGUGAAUUUGUCAUUUUUACAUAUAACCUCUAUACGGACUUAUCUAAUAUUUGUUAACCUAUAAAUACAGAAAUAAUAUAAUCAUAAAUACUAAAAAUUCGCUUACCAGAUCGCAUAAUAACAACUUCCUGGUAUGAUUUUUGAUUGUAAAAAAAUGUGACUGUAUCUCCUUUAACUUUACACUUUUGUAAUCACAAAUCACCGCGUUAUCAUUCACUAGGCAAUAAGAACCAUCGUUCUUACAAUUAAUAAUAAACAUGAUGUGCACAGUGAAAAUCUGUGGCACUAAUAACAGAAUCAACAAAAUUACGGAUGCCGAGACAACACGCGUGAAACAAAGACCGGCUACGUCUAUCCAUACGUAUGAUACGUUCUCCUUUGCGCAUGCAUUAUAUAUAUAUGUAUGCGAGUGUAUGGCUGCGUUCGCUUUGGCACUCACAGCGCUUGUAAGAGUAUCAUUUGUUUUUGUUUAAUAUUUGAUAAACAAUAAGGAUGAAAUGAUGCUUCAAGCGCUAUAAGCACCAAAGCAAAUACUAAUUUAGUAUUAACAGAAAGCAAGACGGUGAUUGGCCAAGUUUGCUUGAGUCUGCUCCGAGUAGACCCAGAUCGGACAAAACGAACAGGCCGUUCGUGUUGAACAAAUGUACAGAUAAAACUUUUGAAAUGAUUUGCUUUUGAUUUUCAAUCGACUGUGCCAAGUAUAUUAUUAGUGACAAAUAAUAACAUGUCUGAUAAAAGAAAAAAAGAUUCCCCCUCUUUUACAAGAGGAAAAUAUAAAACUUACAUCAAGGAUAAAAACCUUCAGGUAAUUAAAUUACAGUUUUAUAAAUAUCUAUAUAAAUUGAAAAAGAUUUUCUUGUUUAUUGAUGCUUGCAUGGACAAAUAGCUGAUCAAAUAUUUGCUAUAUACGAAUAGCUGAUCAAUCAUCUGUUAUAUACAAACAUUAUGUUACUAAAUAUUUUAAACUUGUAAUCAUAAUUAAGUUACUAUUGCCAAAUAGUUUUUAUUUUGUUUUUUAAAUAUAAAUUAUUCCUAAUAUAUAUUUGUUCUCUUGAUACCAGUAAGGACCCUCUCAAGGUGGAAACAAAAAGAAAAUAACAUUUCUUAUGUUGAUUUAGAUGCAACGGAAAACAAAAAUGUUCAAGAUACAUUCAAUAGCAAUAUGAACUCGUAUGCAUCAGAUCAAUACAACGAUAACGAGCCAACUGCUAGUAAAAUCAGUGAUCCAUCAGAUAGCAAUGAAUCAAAAUUUUACGAUGCUCGAAAUGAUAGAAUAAAUGAUGAUGACAAUUAUGCAGCGAAAGAAAAUGAAAUUGACUCCGACGAUGAUGAACAACAAGACAAUCAAAGUAUGCUAUUAUACGAAAAAAGUACUAAAAGCACUGAUGAAAGUGUUUUAUUACUCUUGCAAUUAUUUCUCGACAACAAAA
Monomorium pharaonis (pharaoh ant) is the source of this 1955-nucleotide long non-coding RNA. RefSeq lists it as uncharacterized. Lineage: Eukaryota; Metazoa; Arthropoda; Insecta; Hymenoptera; Formicidae. The record is from RefSeq and is a predicted model, not a curated record. The transcript is spliced from 2 exons.